Molecule: ribosomal RNA, 421 nt
Filed under: Staphylococcus aureus
Lineage: Bacteria; Bacillati; Bacillota; Bacilli; Caryophanales; Staphylococcaceae
Description: bacterial SSU rRNA
Rfam family: Bacterial small subunit ribosomal RNA
Source: RNAcentral
CGCGGUAAUACGUAGGUGGCAAGCGUUAUCCGGAAUUAUUGGGCGUAAAGCGCGCGUAGGCGGUUUUUUAAGUCUGAUGUGAAAGCCCACGGCUCAACCGUGGAGGGUCAUUGGAAACUGGAAAACUUGAGUGCAGAAGAGGAAAGUGGAAUUCCAUGUGUAGCGGUGAAAUGCGCAGAGAUAUGGAGGAACACCAGUGGCGAAGGCGACUUUCUGGUCUGUAACUGACGCUGAUGUGCGAAAGCGUGGGGAUCAAACAGGAUUAGAUACCCUGGUAGUCCACGCCGUAAACGAUGAGUGCUAAGUGUUAGGGGGUUUCCGCCCCUUAGUGCUGCAGCUAACGCAUUAAGCACUCCGCCUGGGGAGUACGACCGCAAGGUUGAAACUCAAAGGAAUUGACGGGGACCCGCACAAGCGGUGG